CUGUCUUAGAAUUGGGGGCAUGCUGAGUCUGAGAUUUAUGGCCUUUUCCACCAUGGCUAGGCCCUGAAUGCAGCAUUGCCAUCGUUUUGUGGGCAGUGUUAUCUAGCUUCCUAACUUGAAGUGGCCGAGCUGUAAUGCAAGAAAGCAGCUGAAGAUGAAGUAAUAAAAGUAGGAGAAGAGCAGUAACAUAGAAAAACUUCAUUUUCCUAUCCAUUAAGGAGGACCUACUGCAUGUUGUUUUGGAUCAUCCAAGGAUAGUUUGUGGAGUUUGGAACUAUG
This 279-nucleotide long non-coding RNA is filed under the name Vigna radiata. RNAcentral describes it as "long non-coding RNA (VRAD_LNC009361)". The record is from RNAcentral. Lineage: Eukaryota; Viridiplantae; Streptophyta; Magnoliopsida; Fabales; Fabaceae.